GACGAACGCUGGCGGCGUGCUUAACACAUGCAAGUCGAACGGAAAGGCCCUGCUUUUGUGGGGUGCUCGAGUGGCGAACGGGUGAGUAACAAGUGAGUAACCUGCCCUUUACUUUGGGAUAACUUCAGGAAACUGGGGCUAAUACCGGAUAGGAGCUCCUGCUGCAUGGUGGGGGUUGGAAAGUGUCGGCGGGUUUGGAUGGACUCGCGGCUUAUCAGCUUGUUGGGGGGGUAGUGACUUACCCAGGGUUUGACGGGUAGCCGGCCUGGGAGGGCGACCGGCCAAAUUGGGACUGAGAUACGGCCCAGACUCCUACGGGAGGCAGCAGUGGGGAAGAGUGCACGAUGGGCGGAAGCCUGGUGCAGAAACGCCGCGUGCGGGAUGACGGCCUUCGGGUUGUAAACCGCUUUCAGCAGGGGCGAAGCUUGUGGUGACGGUACCUGCAGAAGAAGCACCGGCUAACUACGUG
Molecule: ribosomal RNA, 469 nt
Filed under: uncultured bacterium
Lineage: Bacteria
Description: partial 16S ribosomal RNA
Rfam family: Bacterial small subunit ribosomal RNA
Source: RNAcentral